Molecule: ribosomal RNA, 433 nt
Filed under: uncultured bacterium
Lineage: Bacteria
Description: partial 16S ribosomal RNA
Rfam family: Bacterial small subunit ribosomal RNA
Source: RNAcentral
GACGAACGCUGGCGGCAUGCCUAACACAUGCAAGUCGAACGAGACCUUCGGGUCUUGUUGCGCACGGGUGCGUGACGAGUGGGAACCUGCCCUUAAGUUCGGUAUACUUCCCCGUAAGGGGUGCUAAGACCGGAUAAGGUCUUCCGACAAAAGAUUUAUCGCCUUUGGGUGGGGCUGCGUUUGAUUAGCUAGUUGGUAGGGUAAAAGCCUACCAAGGCGACGAUCCAUAGCUGGUCGGAGAGGAGGAUCAGCUAGACUGGGACUGAGACACGGCCCAGACUCCUACGGGAGGGAGCAGUGGGGAAUAUUGUAGAAGGGGCGAAAGCGUGAUCCAGCAAUGCGGGGGGAGAGAUGAAGGCGGUAGUGAUGUAAAGCUGUUUUAGCCGGGAUGAUAAUGACGGUACCGGGAGAAUAAGCUCCGGCUAACUACGUG